CGACGCACUGGAGGAACUCUGAUGCAGCGACGCCGCGUGAGUGAUGAAGGCUUUCGGGUCGUAAAGCUCUGUCGCAGGGGACUAACACAAUGAAUGUACCCUGUAAGAAAGGAUCGGCUAACUUCCCGCCAGCCGCCGCGGUAAUAA
Molecule: ribosomal RNA, 147 nt
Filed under: uncultured bacterium
Lineage: Bacteria
Description: partial 16S ribosomal RNA
Rfam family: Bacterial small subunit ribosomal RNA
Source: RNAcentral